UACGUAGGGGGCGAGCGUUGUCCGGAAUUACUGGGCGUAAAGGGCGCGUAGGCGGCCCAAUAAGUCAGAUGUGAAAAACCUGGGCUUAACCGAGGUCUUGCAUUUGAAACUGUUGGGCUUGAGGACAGGAGAGGAAAGCGGAAUUCCCAGUGUAGCGGUGAAAUGCGUAGAUAUUGGGAGGAACACCAGUGGCGAAGGCGGCUUUCUGGACUGCACCUGACGCUGAGGCGCGAAAGCCAGGGGAGCGAAC
This 250-nucleotide ribosomal RNA is filed under the name uncultured bacterium. RNAcentral's name for it is "partial 16S ribosomal RNA". It matches the Rfam family "Bacterial small subunit ribosomal RNA", at positions 524 to 773 of the family's 1533-position model. The record is from RNAcentral.